UGCUCGCUUUGGCAGCAAUAUACUAAAAUUGGAACGAUACAGAGAAGAAUAGCAUGGCCCUUGCACUAGGGUGACAGGCAAAUUUGUGAAACAUUCCAUAUUUUU
Molecule: small nuclear RNA, 105 nt
Filed under: Dasypus novemcinctus (nine-banded armadillo)
Lineage: Eukaryota; Metazoa; Chordata; Mammalia; Cingulata; Dasypodidae
Source: RNAcentral